CCUACGGGAGGCAGCAGUGAGGAAUAUUGGUCAAUGGACGAGAGUCUGAACCAGCGAAGUAGCGUGAAGGAUGACUGCCCUAUGGGUUGUAAACUUCUUUUAUAUGGGAAUAAAACGUUCCACGUGUGGGAUUUUGUAUGUACCAUAUGAAUAAGGAUCGGCUAACUCCGUUCCAGCAGCAGCGGUAAUACGGAGGAUCCGAGCGUUAUCCGGAUUUAUUGGGUUUAAAGGGAGCGUAGGUGGAUUGUUAAGUCAGUUGUGAAAGUUUGCGGCUCAACCGGAAAAUUGCAGUUGAAACUGGCAGUCUUGAGUACAGUAGAGGUGGGCGGAAUUCGUGGUGUAGCGGUGAAAUGCUUAGAUAUCACGAAGAACUCCGAUUGCGAAGGCAGUUCACUGGACUGCAACUGACACUGAGGCUCGAAAGUGUGGGUAUCAAACAGGAUUAGAUACCCGGGUAGUC
This 460-nucleotide ribosomal RNA is filed under the name uncultured bacterium. RNAcentral describes it as "partial 16S ribosomal RNA". It matches the Rfam family "Bacterial small subunit ribosomal RNA", at positions 338 to 795 of the family's 1533-position model. The record is from RNAcentral.